This 292-nucleotide ribosomal RNA is filed under the name uncultured bacterium. RNAcentral describes it as "partial 16S ribosomal RNA". The record is from RNAcentral.
GGACUACCCGGGUAUCUAAUCCUGUUUGCUCCCCACGCUUUCGCGCAUCAGCGUCAGUUACGGGCCAGUGUGUCGCCUUCGCCACUGGUGUUCUUCCGAAUAUCUACGAAUUUCACCUCUACACUCGGAGUUCCACACACCUCUCCCGCACUCUAGACAGCCAGUAUCAAAGGCAGUUCCAAGGUUGAGCCCUGGGCUUUCACCUCUGACUUAGCUGUCCGCCUACGCGCCCUUUACGCCCAGUAAUUCCGAGCAACGCUAGCCCCCUUCGUAUUACCGCGGCUGCUGGCAC